RNAcentral lists this ribosomal RNA (253 nucleotides) under uncultured bacterium. RNAcentral's name for it is "partial 16S ribosomal RNA". It matches the Rfam family "Bacterial small subunit ribosomal RNA", at positions 524 to 776 of the family's 1533-position model. The record is from RNAcentral.
GACGAACCGAGCGAACGUUGUUCGGAAUCACUGGGCUUAAAGGGCGCGUAGGCGGGCUGCCAAGUUUGGGGUGAAAUCCUCCGGCUCAACCGGAGCAGUGCCUCGAAUACUGGCGGUCUCGAGGGAGGUAGGGGCGUGCGGAACUGUGGGUGGAGCGGUGAAAUGCGUUGAUAUCCACAGGAACUCCGGUGGCGAAGGCGGCACGCUGGACCUUUUCUGACGCUGAGGCACGAAAGCCAGGGGAGCAAACGGG